Molecule: small nuclear RNA, 106 nt
Organism: Sciurus carolinensis (gray squirrel)
Lineage: Eukaryota; Metazoa; Chordata; Mammalia; Rodentia; Sciuridae
Source: RefSeq, a predicted model, not a curated record
GCCUAACAAUGCUUCCUCUGGCACUAAAAAUUAGAAAAUACAGAGAAGAUUAGCAUGGUCCCCACACAAGAAUGACACAAAAAUUUGUGAAAUGUUCCAUAUUUUU